AACCUUACCAGCCCUUGACAUAUGAACAACAAAACCUGUCCUUAACGGGAUGGUACUGACUUUCAUACAGGUGCUGCAUGGCUGCCGUCAGCUCGUGUCGUGAGAUGUUUGGUCAAGUCCUAUAACGAGCGAAGCGACUUGGACCGAACCGGGGAUUUUAUGUUCCUACACGGCCCG
Oryza rufipogon (brownbeard rice) is the source of this 177-nucleotide ribosomal RNA. It matches the Rfam family "Bacterial small subunit ribosomal RNA", at positions 967 to 1212 of the family's 1533-position model. NCBI's taxonomy places the organism in Eukaryota, Viridiplantae, Streptophyta, Magnoliopsida, Poales, Poaceae. The record is from Rfam.